This 492-nucleotide ribosomal RNA is filed under the name uncultured bacterium. Its description in RNAcentral is "partial 16S ribosomal RNA". It matches the Rfam family "Bacterial small subunit ribosomal RNA", at positions 29 to 507 of the family's 1533-position model. The record is from RNAcentral.
AGUGAACGCUGGCGGUAGGCCUAACACAUGCAAGUCGAACGGCAGCACAGUAAGAGCUUGCUCUUACGGGUGGCGAGUGGCGGACGGGUGAGGAAUACAUCGGAAUCUACUUUUUCGUGGGGGAUAACGUAGGGAAACUUACGCUAAUACCGCAUACGACCUACGGGUGAAAGCAGGGGAUCUUCGGACCUUGCGCGAUUGAAAGAGCCGAUGUCGGAUUAGCUAGUUGGCGGGGUAAAGGCCCACCAAGGCGACGAUCCGUAGCUGGUCUGAGAGGAUGAUCAGCCACACUGGAACUGAGACACGGUCCAGACUCCUACGGGAGGCAGCAGUGGGGAAUAUUGGACAAUGGGCGCAAGCCUGAUCCAGCCAUACCGCGUGGGUGAAGAAGGCCUUCGGGUUGUAAAGCCCUUUUGUUGGGAAAGAAAAGCAGCAGGUUAAUACCCCGCUGUUCUGACGGUACCCAAAGAAUAAGCACCGGCUAACUUCAUG